GUGUCUGUUCAGAUCACCAGGGGGAGCUGCAGCGAGCAUGGAAUUGGGUGGAUGUCGUGAAGCAUUUGAGCAAAACCGGCUGCAAGGACGAGGAGUGACCCGAGUUUAUGGAU
Molecule: long non-coding RNA, 113 nt
Organism: Amblyraja radiata (thorny skate)
Lineage: Eukaryota; Metazoa; Chordata; Chondrichthyes; Rajiformes; Rajidae
Exons: 3
Source: RefSeq, a predicted model, not a curated record